GACGAACGCUGGCGGCGUGCCUAAUACAUGCAAGUCGAACGGAAAGGCCCGGCUUUUGUGUGGUGGUUGAGUGGCGAACGGGUGAGUAACACGUGAGUAACCUGCCCUUGACUGUGGGAUAACUUUUGGAAACGGUGGCUAAUACCGCAUAGGAGCUCCUGCUGCAUGGUGUUGAUUGGAAAGGUUCGGUGGUUGGGGUAGGACGUGGGGCUUCUCCGCUUUAUGGUGUGGUAGUGGCGUAGCAUGGCUUUGACGGGUAGCCGGCCUGGGAGGGUGACAGGGCACAUUGGGCCUGAGGUACGGCCCAGAAUGGAACGGGGGGCAGUGGUGGAGAAUAUUGCGGAAUAGGCGGAAGCCUGAUACAGCGGCGCCGGGUGCGGAAUGACGGGUUUCGGGGUAUAAACCGCUUUCGACUGUGAAGUAGACUGAGUGACGGUAAUGGGUCAAAAAGCAACGGCUAACUACGUG
This 468-nucleotide ribosomal RNA is filed under the name uncultured bacterium. Its description in RNAcentral is "partial 16S ribosomal RNA". It matches the Rfam family "Bacterial small subunit ribosomal RNA", at positions 28 to 507 of the family's 1533-position model. The record is from RNAcentral.